MicroRNA precursor from Medicago truncatula (barrel medic), 201 nucleotides. It matches the Rfam family "MIR2619 microRNA precursor family". Lineage: Eukaryota; Viridiplantae; Streptophyta; Magnoliopsida; Fabales; Fabaceae. The record is from Rfam.
AAACAGCCCAUUAUAUAUUGGAUCUUUGGCAGUUUUGGCCCCCAAUGCCACUUUUGACUUAGUCUUCGCUGACGUGGCACCUCACAAUGGUCGACACGUGGCACCUCACUUAAGGGAUAUGGGUGUCACGUCAGCGAAGACUAAGUCAAAAGUGUCAUUGGGGUCAAAGCUGUCAAAUAUCUAAUACAUAGGAGGCUGUUU